Molecule: ribosomal RNA, 375 nt
Filed under: uncultured bacterium
Lineage: Bacteria
Description: bacterial SSU rRNA
Rfam family: Bacterial small subunit ribosomal RNA
Source: RNAcentral
GUACGUAGGUGGCAAGCGUUGUCCGGAUUUACUGGGCGUAAAGGAUGCGUAGGCGGAUAUUUAAGUGAGAUGUGAAAUUCCCGGGCUUAACUUGGGAGCUGCAUUUCAAACUGGAUGUCUAGAGUGCGGGAGAGGAGAAUGGAAUUCCUAGUGUAGCGGUGAAAUGCGUAGAGAUUAGGAAGAACACCAGUAGCGAAGGCGAUUCUCUGGACCGUAACUGACGCUGAGGCAUGAAAGCGUGGGUAGCAAACAGGAUUAGAAACCCUGGUAGUCCACGCCGUAAACGAUGAGUACUAGGUGUAGGAGGGUCCAACCUUCUGUGCCGCAGUUAACACAAUAAGUACUCCGCCUGGGAAGUACGAUCGCAAGAUUAAA